Amphiprion ocellaris (clown anemonefish) is the source of this 410-nucleotide long non-coding RNA. NCBI's taxonomy places the organism in Eukaryota, Metazoa, Chordata, Actinopteri, Pomacentridae. The record is from Ensembl.
GGGAAAACAAGUCUGCUUCUAGGAGCACGAAGAAGACGGGUCCUUGACUCGGGAACAGAAGCCACGAGACACCAAGACGAGAAGAAUCAGAGAAACUGUUGGUCCCUGCAGGGACUGGAAGGUUAGAAGGAAGGAGGUGUUGGAUGGCGUGCUGGGAAGAAGAGCCUGAAGGUCCAGCAGUGGUUCAGUUGUUCAGAAGAGCCUGAAGGUCCAGCAGUGGUUCAGAUGUUCAGAAGAAGAGCCUGAAGGUCCAGCAGUGGUUCAGAUGUUCAGAAGAAGAGCCUGAAGGUCCAGCAGUGGUUCAGUUGUUCAGAAGAAGAGCCUGAAGGUCCAGCAGUGGUUCAGAUGUUCAGAAGAGCCUGAAGGUCCAGCAGUGGUUCAGAUGUUCAGAAGAAGAGCCUGAAGGUCCA